AGUGAACGCUGGCGGUAUGCCUAACACAUGCAAGUCGAACGGCAGCACAGUAAGAGCUUGCUCUUACGGGUGGCGAGUGGCGGACGGGUGAGGAAUACAUCGGAAUCUACUUUUUCGUGGGGGAUAACGUAGGGAAACUUACGCUAAUACCGCAUACGUCCUACGGGUGAAAGCAGGGGUUCUUCGGACCUUUCGCGAUUGAAUGAGCCGAUGUCGGAUUAGCUAGUUGGCUGGGUAAAGGCCCACCAAGGCGACGAUCCGUAGCUGGUCGGAGCGGAUGAUCAGCCACACUGGAACUGAGACACGGUCCAGACUCCUACGGGAGGCAGCAGUGGGGAAUAUUGGGCAAUGGGCGCAAGCCUGAUCCAGCAAUACCGCGUGAGUGAAGAAGGCCUUCGGGUUGUAAAGCCCUUUUGUUGGGAAAGAAAAGCAGCAGGUUAAUACCCCGCUGUUCUGACGGUACCCAAAGAAUAAGCACCGGCUAACUUCGUG
Molecule: ribosomal RNA, 492 nt
Filed under: uncultured bacterium
Lineage: Bacteria
Description: partial 16S ribosomal RNA
Rfam family: Bacterial small subunit ribosomal RNA
Source: RNAcentral